CCCCUACUCCUACGGGAGGCAGCAGUAGGGAAUCUUCCACAAUGGACGAAAGUCUGAUGGAGCAACGCCGCGUGAGUGAAGAAGGUUUUCGGAUCGUAAAGCUCUGUUGUUAGAGAAGAAUGUAGGUAAGAGUAACUGUUUACCUAGUGACGGUAUCUAACCAGAA
Molecule: ribosomal RNA, 166 nt
Filed under: uncultured Lactobacillus sp.
Lineage: Bacteria; Bacillati; Bacillota; Bacilli; Lactobacillales; Lactobacillaceae
Description: partial 16S ribosomal RNA
Rfam family: Bacterial small subunit ribosomal RNA
Source: RNAcentral